GAUGAACGCUGACAGAAUGCUUAACACAUGCAAGUCUUUGGUGAAGCUGUGCUUGCACAGCCUAGCCAAGGCGGACGGGUGAGUAACGCGUAAGGAACUUGCCCUGCAGUCAGGGAUAACAGACGGAAACGACUGAUAAGACCUGGUAAAGUCAGGCGGACUCAUGUCCAGCCUGAUGAAAAGAGAUGCUGCAGGAGAGCCUUGCGUCCUAUUAGCUUGUUGGUGGGGUAACGGCCCACCAAGGCAAUGAUAGGUAGACGGGCUGAGAGGGUGGACGGCCACAAGGGGACUGAGAGACGGCCCUUACUCCUACGGGAGGCAGCAGUGGGGAAUAUUGGACAAUGGGGGCAACCCUGAGCCAGCAAUUCUGUGUGAAAGAUGAAGGUUUUCGGAUUGUAAAGUGCUUUCAGCAGGGAAGAAAAAAAUGACGGUACCUGCAGAAGAAGCGACGGCUAAAUACGU
Molecule: ribosomal RNA, 462 nt
Filed under: uncultured bacterium
Lineage: Bacteria
Description: partial 16S ribosomal RNA
Rfam family: Bacterial small subunit ribosomal RNA
Source: RNAcentral